AGUCUUUUAAAACGGAGUAGAAAGGGACGUUGGAUUGAUCAUUACGGUUUGUUUGGAGAAUAGAAUUUCGUGUCACCAACUUGGAAGGGUAAAUGAAUUGCAGAGUCGGAUACAGCUAAUUUGGGGGAAUGUAAGCUGGAUGUCUUUUCCUAAUUUAUGAAACGUGAACGGGGGUAAGGUAUUUAUUUGUACGCUAGUUGAAGUGGGGCAGGAGCACUGAUUCCUGGACAGUCACUCAAAAGCUGCGCCCAAAGUUUUAAAAAGCGCGGGGACGGUGGAGAGGGAGGCGAAGAGCCCGCGCUGCUGGGCUGGGCUCGGGUGCCGCGCUGGGGACGCCGCAUCUACUGAGCGGUCGCCGAAGACGCCGGGAGGCGAGGGGCGAGGUAAGACGCCGCCUAAAGAGGCCCGGGCUCUCCCCCGGGGUCGUUGUUGGAAAAGCAAAUUCCACGGUGAACUCUACCAAGCUCAGCGCGUACACAGCUAGCGGCUCUGGAUUGGACUGCAUUCGCCUAAAUUGCGUAAUUAAAAAAAAAAAAUACACCACUGCCACCCUACAGCGACGCUUCCGCUGGAAGACGAGCGGGGACGCGUGACAGCGCGGGGAUAGCUUUUCUAUUACGUUUCUUGUUCUCCGAGCUCGAGCCCCCUUUUAAAAAGUCGCUCACCAAAAACGGGGUGGGGGAUGGAGGUGGGGACGAGAAGUUUCCGAAUGCUGAGUUCAUUUGGACGAGGUGAGGAGAACUAGGGUCCUAACAGCAGGUCCAGAGGACUCUCGAGAUAGGUUUAGAGCCCGUCCUUUUGUCUGGAGUGUCGCGGGACUCCAGAAGUGGGUUGUGCAAGACAAACUUCCAGAUAAAUCUUUGCCCGGAUCCUCCUGCGGUCAAAGCAUCAGUCCUGCCCGUAACUUCCUAACGACAUCUUCUUGGAGCAGAUUCCGCGGCGGGGAUGGCUGGGUGUGCAAACCGAAAACAGUUUGUCAGCCCUCCAGUCCCGCCGCGUCGGGAAUGCGAGCCCGGCCACGCGGUCCGACCGGGUCCGGGGACGGCGCGCUUGUCGCGGGAGCCUCCCGGCUUGCGGAGGGCUUGAGUUUUUUGGCGGAGACAGAGGAAAGCCUCUGGUCGAGAGGAUUAGAGCGCGCGUUUUCUCCGCCGAGCACGCUGCCCGACGCCGUCGCAGCCGCGCACUUCCCGGUUUUGAAAGCCAGAGAGAUGAGUCAAGCGCAAAAGCUCCGGAGUGACAAUGCGAGCUUUUGGCCAGCCUCAUCCUCCUCCCCAUUCCCUUGCCUUCUUUUAGGUCUUCGGUUCGUGACAAGUGCAUAGGUUAGGCUUGCACGGAAGAGGGUCGGGGCAGGUGCCAGCUCAGGGCACCUACCCGGCGUUGUCACGUUCCCUUUGGGAUCAAUGAUCUUUCAUAACUAGGCUGGGCAUGUUCGUGCAGCCCUCUGGGCACUCUGGGGGACGUUCUCAUAAGGCUUUUUUUCUUUUCUUUUCUACCUUUUAACAGAACCUUCUAGGAAAAGUGUUUUUUAAAGUUUUAAAUAUACUGAUGUCUACAGAAACGGAUAACAAAAUUUCAAAGCGGAAGGGAGGAAACAAAAGGAAAAGGUGUUUUACUUGGCAGUCAUUGCUGAAGCUACCAUAGUGUAGGAUAGAGGAAGAGCGUUUCAGAAGAGAAUUGGUUAAGUAAAACCUUCAGCUGUAACGUAAUAGAAAAGACACAGUAAAUGGGAAAAAUAAUAAAAUGUACACUAGAUACAUUACACAGACGAUUGAGAACUUAUGCUCCCACUGAAAGCCUCUUUCUCCCAGGGAGAAUAUUUAUGGAGGAAAAUUAUUUAGUUAUUUUCACAGUAUUACAUUGUCCUUUGAAUGAAAGUUUUUUUUUUUUAAUCAGUCAGCUAGACUUGGUUCUUUAAUUAGGAGGCACAAUGAAGUUUCUAACAGAUGUUGUCAGCCACAAACUCUGAUCCAAAAUAAUAAGUGUAACUAAUUUUCGGGGACAAUCUUUAGUUUGUAAGGCCUGAAAUUAAAAUACGAUGCUUUUAAACACUGUGGUUCAAAAAUGUAGGAAAACAUUUGUUCCAGAUCUUAUAGUGGCACCAUUUCCUUGCUCUGUGUUGGAAAAGCCUUAAGUAGGAUAUGACCCUUCUCUCUCACUCCAAAACCUCUUUUUUCAAACUUGAUUUCUUUCUGAUCUUAGAAAUUCUACUUUAAAAAUAUUUCCUGAUUUUUAAAAGUCAGCCAGAUGAGGUGAAAUCCUUAAAAUAUAACAUAUUCCUGAUCAGAUCACAUAACUUUUCUCAUAAACUAAGUCUUAUAAAGAAUAUGCUUAAGCAACUCUUCAUCUAAAUAUAGCUUUCAAAUAUGUAUAAUUUAAUCUGAAUCGGUGUUGUCAAACUUCCAGUACCCUGAAAUAUAAGCACAAAGAUCAAAUUAUCUAUAAUUGUCAGAUAAAUGUGGUAGCCACUGGUUCUGCUUGGUGUAGUAAAAAUUAAUUAACAAUUAAUCAUUUUUAAAUUGAAUAUACAAUGUUAAGACAAAAUAUUGAGUGGGAUGCUCUAAUAUAUCCAGUUCUUAAUUCUUGGCAUGGCAUCAUGACUUCUAAACUCUAUAUGGUGUGUUGAAGAUUUGAAGAUUUGUCAUUGUAAGUUACCUGUUUCCUACACAUUGGAAAGAGGGGGAAGUUAAUACGUUUUCUAUAGCAUUCAACUCCUCUGCUGCCAAAACAUCUUAUAGUUUGGACUGCAUUUUAAUAUAUGCCAUAUUUUGAAAUCUAUUUGGUUUUGAACAAGCUGCAGCCUCUGUGCAAAUAACCUGUCAUCCUUUAGUGGAUCUUUAUGGCUAUUUUAAAUAAAAGUUUUUUUAAAGUGCCAAGAGAGAACAUUACAAAGUGAGGUCUGUCUUCUUGGGAUUCUAUAUCUAUUUGAGGGUGAAGGGUAGAUAGGGCUGAUGUUACAUCUUUUGACAGAGGGCUAGUAGAAUCCUAUGUUUCUGACACAAAUUAAAUGUGAUUUCCGCCAAAUUGACUGUCUCCUGGCGUGGAGGCACAUCACCACGAUUUUGGUUUGCCACAUUGAAAUAAAUAAGAAAACAAAGGCUGGACUUGCAAAAGCUACUACUUAUUUUUCAGCUUCUUUAAUGACUAGGAUUCUUUCACUUAUCUGCCCUGGACUACACACUGACAGGCUGCUGGAAUUCUGAGCAGUAAAAAAAUUCUAGAUGGCCAAUAUAAUUUAAAUGACAAAUGUGUAUUGAGCACAUACUGUAAGGACAGGGGUAAAAAGUGGAAGACCAGUAACUCAGCCGUCCAAAUGAAUGGGCCUUACCAAUAAGCCUAAGACACUGGGAUGGGGCUGCAACUUCUUUUCAUAGCAGUUUCAUAAGGCUUUCUUUUCUUUUCUACCUUUUAAUAGAAUCUCUGUUGAAUGAUUUUUUUUUAUAUUGUGCUAAGUAGUUUUUCCUAGCUGUCUCAAUUGUUCUAGAGCUUCUUCGUGUGUCAUGGAAGGCCUGAAAGUCUGGGCCAGGAUUAUAAUUGUUAAAAAAAUCAUUUUUCUCAGUUCGUUCUCUCUUUUUAAAUACUAGGAUAUUUGCUUCGUUAAUAGUAGAAUUUUAGUCCUUUCUUUAAAAAAAUUGUUUGUUUGUUCUUCAUUAACAUUAAUGACAUUUCUCAACUGCAUUUGCUUCAGUCUCAUUUGGGAAUCUGCCUAGUCUUGUCUCCUUAACGGGUUAGCGGUGAUGACACCUUAGUACCAGAGGUUCCCUGAGUUUUGCUGUCAACUCACUUAUAUGCCUUUUUUAAGGGAAGUAGGUUGGAGGGGUUACCCUCAUAAAGCUCGUAUUCUCCAUAUUUGUAAAAGGGAUUUUGAAACAUUUCUUUACCCAUUGGAAAUUAUAAAAUCAUCGGAGGCAUUACAAAGUAGCAGAAAAUGCUGGAAAACAAAAGAAGAGAUCUAUGGACUUUGUAAUGGGCAUUUGGAUGAGAGCUUCUAGAUUAUGGUCUGAAAAAAGGAACUAUACUUUCUAUUUCAGUAGUAUUUUAUUGUUCAAUAGUGAAGUUUUAAAUAUGAUGGUUUCUUGCCCUUCAAAAAUGUACCUUAAUACUGUAUGCUCAAGCAGAAUUAAAAAGUAAACUGGUUGAGUUUAGAAAUAUUCUAUUAGAAAACUGUGUAUGUUUAGUUGGUUUCUAUUUUAUGUUAAACAAAGUGCAGGGAGUUUGAAUAAAUGAAUUUUAAGUAUUUUUAUUACAAAUUUAAUUUACUUCUGGUUGUGGUUUUUUUAAGUUUGCUCUUAUAGAUAAACAUUGCUGCCUUUCACAGCAUUUCACAUUUGAAAUAUCUGUAUAUUGUGUUCUGGGUCCAUCGAGCUGAAAGCUUGUGGCAAAAUAUUAACGUUUUUUCAAUUUCUUAAUUGAAAGGAUACUUUAAGCUGUGAGAAGUGGCACGUGUCUGUAGUCCCAGCUACUUGGGAGGCUGAAGCAGGAGGAUUGUUUGAGCCUAGGAGUUCAAAGCCAGCCUGGACAACAUAGCGAGACCCCAUCUCCUAAAAAAAAGGGAAUACUUUAAAUAUAAGACAUACUUGAAAAAACUUUUUAGAACAUUUUACAUUUGACAUUUCUGUCUCUAACAUAAAUUAAUAUAUAAGGUGCAACGUUUUGCUUGAUAGGAAGUUUAUACUGUAAAUAAACCCAUAAGUCAAAUGAAUAUACUUGGUUUCUUUCUAUACACAUGACAGUUAAUUUUACUUUAUUUAGAUUUUUGCUUCUCCUAGGAUUACCAGUUUCAAAAAGUUUUUUCUUCAGUCAGACUUCGGGAAGCUAGUCCACCUAAUUUAAAAUAAAAUGACAUGAAUUCCCAGUAUUUCAUUUGUUCAUUUCACAUCUUUUCUUUGUCUGCCCAAGGACUGUUAGUCAACUUUCAUCAAAAGAAAACUAUUUUUACCAUUUAUAGUUCUGCCUCUGCCAGGCUGGUAAUAUCCAUCUUCCCUUACUGGGUUACUAUAAUCAACCUGGCUAUUGUUUUGCAUUGGGAUUUUUAAAAGUUAAUACAUAUAUAUAUAUAUAUAUAUAUAUAUAUAUAUAUAUAUAUAUAUUUUUUUUUUUUUUUUUCUUUUGAGACAAGAUCUCACUCUGUCACUCAGGUUGGAGUUCAAUGGCAUAAUCUCGGUUUAUUGCAGCCUCAACCUCCUAGGCUCAAGCAAUCCUCCCACCUCAGCCUCCCAAGUAGCUGGGACCACAGGCAUGUGCCACCAUACCCAGCUAAUUUUGUUUAAUUUUUAUAGAGAUGGGAGCUCACUAUGUUGCCCAGGUUGGUCUCAAACUCCUGGGCUCAAGUGAUCCUUUUGUCUUGGCUUCCCAAAGUGCUGGUAAUACAGGCAUGAGCCACCACGCCCAGCCCAAAUAUGUUUUUUCAUAAAAUUUAGAAAACAGGGGGUUGGGCAGCAGUGGCUCACACUUGUAAUUCCAGCACUUUGGGAGGCAAGGUGGGAGGAUCACUUGAGGCCAGGAGUUUGAGACCAGCCUGGGCAAUAUAGCAAGACCCCCAUGUCUACAAAAAAAAAAAAUUAGAAAACACAUUGUGACCAAUUAGAACAAAAUUUGUAUACAAAAGUGACAUGUUUUUUGCUUUUUUUGUUGUUGUUGUUCAGCCAGGGGCACUCCUCCUGUGGACUUUGAUUAUGUGUGUUGCCACUGCUGUGUUACUUGCCUUACACUAAGUCCUCUCAGACUCAAGUGUCAUCGUGAUGGGCUCAGGUGUACCUAAGCUACCUUCCAAUUCCAUGCCCUCCUUGCACUGGCUCAGGACCAUGACUGCAGUAGAAAUAAACUUAGACCUAGUGUUUACCAACAAGCUCAUGUAACCUUUGGCGUGCAGGGCCUCAAUUUCUUUAUGGGUUAAAUAUAAGUUAUUGAGAUUAAAUGAUAUUUGCAAAAAUAUCCAACUUAAAUCCAAGAAUUUCAGAGUAUUUUAAGUUAUUUUUAAAGGGCAAAGUAUGUGACCUUCCUUUAUCUAUGUGUUUCUUUUUUUUUGAGACGGAGUCUUGCUCUGUCGCCCAGGCUGGAGUGCAGUGGCGCCAUCUCGGCUCACUGCAAGCUCCGCCUCCUGGGUUCACGCCAUUCUCCUCAGCCUCCCAAGUAGCUGGGACUACAGGCGCCUGCCACCACGCCUGGCUAAUUUUUUAUAUUUUUAAUAGAGAUGAGGUUUCACCGUGUUAGCCAGGAUGGUCUCGAUCUCCUGAGCUCGUGAUCUGCCCGCCUUGGCCUCCCAAAGUGCUGGGAUUACAGGCGUGAGCCACCGCGCCUGGCAUUAUCUAUGUAUUUCAACUAUACCAAAAAACUAUAGAGAAUAUUAUAAACCAACACCUAUCUCCAAUAUACUUAUUUCUGUGUACCUAUCUCCAAGACAUUUCAAAGCUAUCUUUAACUCAUCUUUAAAAAAUAUAUACAAGCCAGGGGCAGUGGUGCACACCUGUAGUCCCAGCUACUCUCAAGGCUGAGGCAGAGGCUGAGGUAGGAGGAUCGCUUGAAGCCAGAGGUUCAAGGCUGCUGUGAGCUAUGAUAGUGCCUUUGGAUAGCCACUUCACUCCAGCCUGGGCAACACAGUGAGACUCCAUCUUUAAAAAAUAAAAUAAAAAAUUAAAAUACGUACAUUUUUAAAUGUUAAAGCCUCCUAUAUACUCUUUCCAUCUCUUUUCCCUCCCUCCCUCCCUCACCAAGGUUAUUUCCAUGUAUGUUUUCCAUGUAUGUAAUUUCCAUGUAUGUACAGACUUUUAUAUUUGUAUGUAUAGUAAUGUUUGUCUUAUUAAAGAAAGCUGACAUAAAUAG
This 6819-nucleotide long non-coding RNA is filed under the name Homo sapiens (human). RNAcentral's name for it is "HSALNT0335991". Lineage: Eukaryota; Metazoa; Chordata; Mammalia; Primates; Hominidae. The record is from RNAcentral.